CCGCUCAGAGUAAAUGUGGGAACACUCUACUGAAACAGAGCAGGAAAAACUGAAAGCACUUAGCUGCUGGUUUUAGGAAUUACAUGCUUGGUAAAUAGCUUAUGAGAUGCAUACAAGACAACCCAUCAAUUGGUUUUAGGAAUUACAUGCUUGGUAAAAUAGCAUAUGAGAUGCAUACAAGACAACCAAUCAAAAUUAAUUACUUGUAAGUACAUUUAAUGAACCCGAGAAAUGAUUGGAAUUCAGACACCUUUUUGGCACGACCAUUUGUAAAGUUCUGUAAUAAACAAAGGGAAAAUUUCACAAAAGAACAACUGGGCUCCCUACUUUUCAAUUUUAUAGCCUAUAUAUCAAUUUACAACCAACUAGCCCAAAAUAAUAGGCUAUACUCAACAUUCAACUCAAAUAGGUUCUCAAAAUUACUAUUUAAUUAUAAAAAAGAUUGCUCGAGCUUUUAAGUUAAUUUUCGAAUCAGUAACUGUGACUCAAAUAUUUGUUCAACAAACCAAAUCCA
This 514-nucleotide long non-coding RNA is filed under the name Nicotiana benthamiana. RNAcentral describes it as "long non-coding RNA (NBEN_LNC018244)". Lineage: Eukaryota; Viridiplantae; Streptophyta; Magnoliopsida; Solanales; Solanaceae. The record is from RNAcentral.